GACGAACGCUGGCGGCGUGCUUAACACAUGCAAGUCGAACGGAAAGGCCCUGACAUUGCGGGGUGCGCGAGUGGCGAAGGGGUGAGUAACACGUGAGUAAAGUGACCUGGACUUUGGGAUAACUUGAGGAAACUGGGGCUAAGACAGGAUAGGAGCACCAGCUGCAAGGAGGGGGAUGGAAAAUGUCGGCGGGGUGGGAUGGACUGGCGGCUAAUCAGAUUUGUGGUGGGGUAGGGGCUUAGCAAGGCUAAGACGGGAAGCCGGCCUGGGAGGGUGACCGGCACCGUUGCGACUGAGAUACGGCCCAGACUACUACGGGAGGCAGCAGUGGGGAAUAUUGCACAAUGGGCGGAAGCCUGAUCCAGCACCGCCGCGUGCGGGAUGACGGCCUUCGGGUUGUAAACCGCUUUCGCCUGUGACGAAGCGUGAGUGACGGUAAUGGGUAAAGAAGCACCGGCUAACUACGUG
This 468-nucleotide ribosomal RNA is filed under the name uncultured bacterium. RNAcentral describes it as "partial 16S ribosomal RNA". It matches the Rfam family "Bacterial small subunit ribosomal RNA", at positions 28 to 507 of the family's 1533-position model. The record is from RNAcentral.